AUUGAACGCUGGCGGCAUGCCUUACACAUGCAAGUCGAACGGCAGCAUAGGAGCUUGCUCCUGAUGGCGAGUGGCGAACGGGUGAGUAAUAUAUCGGAACGUGCCCUAGAGUGGGGGAUAACUAGUCGAAAGACUAGCUAAUACCGCAUACGAUCUACGGAUGAAAGUGGGGGAUCGCAAGACCUCAUGCUCCUGGAGCGGCCGAUAUCUGAUUAGCUAGUUGGUGGGGUAAAAGCCUACCAAGGCAACGAUCAGUAGCUGGUCUGAGAGGACGACCGGCCAAGCUGGGACUGAGACACGGCCCAGACUCCUACGGGAGGCAGCAGUGGGGAAUUUUGGACAAUGGGGGCAACCCUGAUCCAGCAAUGCCGCGUGAGUGAAGAAGGCCUUCGGGUUGUAAAGCUCUUUUGUCAGGGAAGAAACGGUAGUAGCUAAUAUCUAUUGCUAAUGACGGUACCUGAAGAAUAAGCACCGGCUAACUACGUGCCAGCCGCCGCCGUAA
Molecule: ribosomal RNA, 502 nt
Filed under: uncultured bacterium
Lineage: Bacteria
Description: partial 16S ribosomal RNA
Rfam family: Bacterial small subunit ribosomal RNA
Source: RNAcentral